AGCAGCCGCGGUAAUUCCAGCUCCAAUAGCGUAUAUUAAAGUUGUUGCAGUUAAAAAGCUCGUAGUUGAAUUUCGGGAUCAGUUGGUCGGUCGUGCCUCGGUACGUACUGGUCAAAUUGAUUCCUACCUUCUGACGAACCACGAUGUCAUUAAUUUGGUGUCGCGGGAAAUCAGGACUGUUACUUUGAAAAAUUAGAGUGUUUAAAGCAGGCUCGCGCUUGAAUACAUUAGCAUGGAAUAAUGAAAUAGGACGUUUGAUUCUAUUUUGUUGGUUUCUAGGAUCGACGUAAUGAUUAAUAGGGAUAGUUGGGGGCAUUAGUAUUCAAUUGUCAGAGGUGAAAUUCUUGGAUUUAUUGAAGACUAACUACUGCGAAAGCAUUUGCCAAGGAUGUUUUCAUUAAUCAAGAACGAAAGUUAGGGGAUCGAAGACGAUCAGAUACCGUCGUAGUCUUAACCAUAAACCUAUGCCGACUAGGGAUCGGAUGAUGUUAAUUUUUAAUGACUCAUUCGGCGCCUUACG
RNAcentral lists this ribosomal RNA (520 nucleotides) under uncultured Glomus. RNAcentral's name for it is "SSU rRNA". It matches the Rfam family "Eukaryotic small subunit ribosomal RNA", at positions 569 to 1092 of the family's 1831-position model. Lineage: Eukaryota; Fungi; Glomeromycota; Glomeromycetes; Glomerales; Glomeraceae. The record is from RNAcentral.